GAACUUAAGCAUAUCAAUAAGCGGAGGAAAAGAAACCAACAGGGAUUGCCUCAGUAACGGCGAGUGAAGCGGCAACAGCUCAAAUUUGAAAUCUGGCUCUUUCAGGGUCCGAGUUGUAAUUUGUAGAAGAUGCUUUGGGUGUAGCUCCGGUCUAAGUUCCUUGGAACAGGACGUCAUAGAGGGUGAGAAUCCCGUAUGUGACUGGGUGCUUUCGCUCGUGUAAAGCUCUUUCGACGAGUCGAGUUGUUUGGGAAUGCAGCUCAAAAUGGGUGGUAAAUUUCAUCUAAAGCUAAAUAUUGGCCAGAGACCGAUAGCGCACAAGUAGAGUGAUCGAAAGAUGAAAAGCACUUUGGAAAGAGAGUUAAACAGUACGUGAAAUUGUUGAAAGGGAAGCGCUUGCAACCAGACUUGCGCGCUGUUGAUCAUCCGAGCUUUUGCCCGGUGCACUCGGCAGCGUUCAGGCCAGCAUCGGUUUUGGUGGGCGGAUAAAGGCCUUGGGAAUGUAGCUUCUUUCGGGGAGUGUUAUAGCCCUCGGUGCAAUGCGCCCUACCGGGACCGAGGACCGCGCUUCGGCUAGGAUGCUGGCGUAAUGGUUGUAAGCGACCCGUCUUGAAACACGGACCAAGGAGUCUAACAUCUAUGCGAGUGUUUGGGUGUCAAACCCAUACGCGUAAUGAAAGUGAACGGAGGUGAGAACCCUUAAGGGUGCAUCAUCGACCGAUCCUGAUGUCUUCGGAUGGAUUUGAGUAAGAGCAUAGCUGUUGGGACCCGAAA
Molecule: ribosomal RNA, 774 nt
Filed under: uncultured fungus
Lineage: Eukaryota; Fungi
Description: eukaryotic LSU rRNA
Rfam family: Eukaryotic large subunit ribosomal RNA
Source: RNAcentral